CCCCUGGUGGUCCAGUGGUUAAAAUUCUGCACUCCCAAUGCAGGGACCAGGGUUCAAUCCCUGGCAAGGUA
This 71-nucleotide transfer RNA is filed under the name Ovis aries (sheep). It matches the Rfam family "tRNA". Rfam says of the family: Transfer RNA (tRNA) molecules are approximately 80 nucleotides in length. Their secondary structure includes four short double-helical elements and three loops (D, anti-codon, and T loops). Further hydrogen bonds mediate the characteristic L-shaped molecular structure. tRNAs have two regions of fundamental functional importance: the anti-codon, which is responsible for specific mRNA codon recognition, and the 3' end, to which the tRNAs corresponding amino acid is attached (by aminoacyl-tRNA synthetases). tRNAs cope with the degeneracy of the genetic code in two manners: having more than one tRNA (with a specific anti-codon) for a particular amino acid; and 'wobble' base-pairing, i.e. permitting non-standard base-pairing at the 3rd anti-codon position. Lineage: Eukaryota; Metazoa; Chordata; Mammalia; Artiodactyla; Bovidae. The record is from Rfam by way of RNAcentral.